GAUGAACGCUGGCGGCGUGCCUAAUACAUGCAAGUAGAACGCUGAAGGAGGAGCUUGCUCUUCUGGAUGAGUUGCGAACGGGUGAGUAACGCGUAGGUAACCUGCCUGGUAGCGGGGGAUAACUAUUGGAAACGAUAGCUAAUACCGCAUGACAACAGUUAUUGCAUGAUAACUGUUUAAAAGGGGCAACUGCUCCACUACCAGAUGGACCUGCGUUGUAUUAGCUAGUUGGUGAGGUAACGGCUCACCAAGGCGACGAUACAUAGCCGACCUGAGAGGGUGAUCGGCCACACUGGGACUGAGACACGGCCCAGACUCCUACGGGAGGGAGCAGUAGGGAAUCUUCGGCAAUGGACGGAAGUCUGACCGAGCAACGCCGCGUGAGUGAAGAAGGGUUUCGGAUCGUAAAGCUCUGUUGUAAGAGAAGAACGAGUGUGAGAGUGGAAAGUUCACACUGUGACGGUAUCUUACCAGAAAGGGACGGCUAACUACGUG
RNAcentral lists this ribosomal RNA (495 nucleotides) under uncultured bacterium. Its description in RNAcentral is "partial 16S ribosomal RNA". It matches the Rfam family "Bacterial small subunit ribosomal RNA", at positions 28 to 507 of the family's 1533-position model. The record is from RNAcentral.